UACGUAGGGUGCGAGCGUUGUCCGGAAUUAUUGGGCGUAAAGAGCUUGUAGGCGGUUUGUCGCGUCUGCCGUGAAAUUUCGAGGCUCAACCUCGAACUUGCGGUGGGUACGGGCAGACUAGAGUGUGGUAGGGGAGACUGGAAUUCCUGGUGUAGCGGUGAAAUGCGCAGAUAUCAGGAGGAACACCGAUGGCGAAGGCAGGUCUCUGGGCCACUACUGACGCUGAGAAGCGAAAGCAUGGGGGAGCGAACAGG
RNAcentral lists this ribosomal RNA (254 nucleotides) under uncultured bacterium. RNAcentral describes it as "partial 16S ribosomal RNA". It matches the Rfam family "Bacterial small subunit ribosomal RNA", at positions 524 to 776 of the family's 1533-position model. The record is from RNAcentral.